AGCGAACGCUGGCGGCAGGCCUAACACAUGCAAGUCGAACGAACUCUUCGGAGUUAGUGGCGGACGGGUGAGUGACACGUGGGAACGUGCCUUUAGGUUCGGAAUAACUCAGGGAAACUCGUGCUAAUACCGAAUGUGCCCUUCGGGGGAAAGAUUUAUCGCCUUUAGAGCGGCCCACGUCUGAUUAGCUAGUUGGUGAGGUAAAGGCUCACCAAGGCUACGAUCAGUAGCUGGUCUGAGAGGAUGAUCAGCCACACUGGGACUGAGAAACGGUCCAAACUAUUAGGGGAGGGACCAGGCCCGAAUAUUGGAGGAGGGGCGAAAGGGGGAUCCAGCCGUAAUGGGCGAGAGACGAAGGUCUCCGGACCGGGAAGAACUUUAAGGUGUGAGGAUGGUAAAUAUCCUUAACCGGGGCCGUUUUGACGUUACCCAGAGAAAAAGCCCCGGCUAACUUCGUG
Molecule: ribosomal RNA, 458 nt
Filed under: uncultured bacterium
Lineage: Bacteria
Description: partial 16S ribosomal RNA
Rfam family: Bacterial small subunit ribosomal RNA
Source: RNAcentral